This 998-nucleotide long non-coding RNA is filed under the name Vulpes vulpes (red fox). Its description in RNAcentral is "lncRNA (ENSVVUG00000030262.1)". Lineage: Eukaryota; Metazoa; Chordata; Mammalia; Carnivora; Canidae. The record is from RNAcentral.
GCCUCGCCCUUAGGUGUGCUUUUGUCCUGCACCGCGACACGUGUAGGUUAGAGUCGCAGAUAAAGAAUUGAUACUGUAGAUGCGUUUCCCACGCGUCCUUUCUCACCCACACGAUGCCAGAGCGAGAUCACGCUACCGAACGUUUUAUGGUCUCUUCCGAGUUCGUAGUCGAGCUGCACUACCACGGGCUUCGGUGCCACUCUUACGUGGGCCAGACGUGCAACACAUAAGGCGAGAAACCUAACCGACUCCAUCCUGGGGACCGUGGCUCCCUUCGUGGAAGCAGGUGGUGCGGCGCGGGGCGGGGCGGAGCGGCAGGCGCGGUCCAGUUCUGAAGUCACAAAACUCAAAAGCUGCUCAUUCCUGUCCUCUCCAGGCAAAGGCAGCUCAAGCAUCUCAUCCGACGUGAGUUCAAGUACAGAUCACACGCCGACCCAAGCCCAGAAGAAUGUGGCUACCAGUGAAGUCUUUCUCAUCCACGGGGUGUUGAAGGAACAGCCUUUGACCUUCCGCUAUGAAAGUCACGUCCAGCCCGUGGUUAGAACGGAGCACACGGCAGCCAGCCCGAAACCGAGUCCGUUGGAUUGGGUUGGGUCAUGAGGCCGCUUCCUAGAAAUCGUAAGCUCAGCCCGGCCUUCGUCUUUCUGAGAACAGGGUUAUGAGGAUGUGGCUUGACUGGUGGCAUCUCAACAACUCCCACUUCUCUUGGGCCUGGGGAAGGUGACGCAGUUGGUUCAGAGGCCAGAUGUAACUGGCUGCUGAGGAGUCCGCUCCAUCCAGCUGCUCUUUAAACAUAUUCAGGUUCAGAUACUGAACCCACUGACAGCACAAUUUAUAGGUGUGAUGGCUUAUAAAUGCCGUUAUCAAGCGGGCCAAAUAUGGAAUCAUAGGAUUUUUAGAGCUACAAAGGCCUUGGCAACUUUUCUGACCUAAUACGCUCGUUUUACAAAGAAGUCCCUGCGGGCACAGAGAAAUAAAGAGAUUUGCUCAAUAUUACA